This 1072-nucleotide long non-coding RNA is filed under the name Chrysolophus pictus (golden pheasant). Its description in RNAcentral is "lncRNA (ENSCPIG00010004752.1)". The record is from RNAcentral. Lineage: Eukaryota; Metazoa; Chordata; Aves; Galliformes; Phasianidae.
GGGGGGUGUGGGGGAGGAGGGGGGUGGGGGGGGACAUUGGGGGACAUUUGGGGACAUUGGGGGACAUGGGGAGGACAGAGAGGGACGUGGGGGUGCGUGGGGGACGCGGGGUCUUUGGGAUUUUGUGUGAGCGCAACGGGACGUGGGGUGCUGUCCCUGUGUCCUCCCCCUGCCAUUGUCAUUGUCACCUCCCCACAGCGUCCCCUGCGCCCAUCUCGGAGGAGAAGUCCUGGAUGAAUUUCUUUACCCCCAUCCUCGAACACUUCAUGUACCCCCAAAACACCACGGGGACAGCAAAAGAGGACCCCAAAUUAGGGAAACCCCCCGGGUCGGUGACAUCCGCCUGGUUGGGGACACCACCAAAAAUGGGGACGCGACCCGGGUCGAUGACGGCUCCCGAAGAAGAGAAGGAUGAACCCCAAGAAUUUGGGUUGUGGCCUCGAGGAUACGGGGGAGGACAACCGGAGGGAGAGGGGGAGUGGCAUCGUGGGGUGGGGAUGGAGCAAUGGGGACAAUGGAUGGGUCACCACGGGUUGGGGACAGGUCAAGGACGUGGAAAAGAGGGUGAAGGUGGUGGAUCUUCAGGGGGUCAACCAGGAGGUCAAGGAGGACAUGGAAAAGAUGGUGAAGAUGGUGGAUCUCCAUGGAGUCAACCAGGAGGUCAAGGAGGACGUGGAAAAGAUGGAGAACAUGAGCAAGGUCAAGGAGGACAUGGAAAAAAGGGUGAAGGUGGUGGAUCUCCAGGGAGUCAACCAGGAGGUCAAGGGGGACGUAGUCCAGAUGGAGAACAUGAGCAAGGUCAAGGAGGACAUGGAAAAAAUGGUGAAGGUGGUGGAUCUUCAGGGAAAAAACCAGGAGAUCAAGGAGGACAUGGAAAAGACAGUGAAGGUGGUGGAUCUCCAGGGAGUCAACCAGGAGGUCAAGGAGGACGUGGAAAAGAUGGAGAAGAUGAGCAAAGUCAAGGACAUGGAAAAAAGGGUGAAGAUGGUGGAUCUUCAGGGAAAAAACCAGGAGGACAUGCAAAAGACGGUGAAGAUGGUGGAUCUUCAUGGAGUCAACCAGGGGGUCAAGG